This 777-nucleotide ribosomal RNA is filed under the name uncultured Neocallimastigales. Its description in RNAcentral is "partial large subunit ribosomal RNA". It matches the Rfam family "Eukaryotic large subunit ribosomal RNA", at positions 24 to 643 of the family's 3401-position model. The record is from RNAcentral. Lineage: Eukaryota; Fungi; Neocallimastigomycota; Neocallimastigomycetes; Neocallimastigales.
CAUCACUACGCUAGACUGCAUAUCAAUAAGCGGAGGAAAAGAAACUAACAAGGAUUCCCUUAGUAACGGCGAGUGAAGCGGGAAGAGCUCAAAUUUGAAAUCUUCAAGGUUUUACCUUGACGAAUUGUAGUUUAAAGAAGUGUUUUCUGUUGGAGUUUGGUAAAAGUUCUUUGGAAUAGGACAUCAUAGAGGGUGAGAAUCCCGUAUUUGACCAGUUACUUUCCAGCUGUGUGAUACACUUUCAAAGAGUCGGAUUGUUUGGGAAUGCAGUCCAAAAUGGGUGGUAAAUUUCAUCUAAAGCUAAAUAUUGGCGAGAGACCGAUAGCGAACAAGUACCGUGAGGGAAAGAUGAAAAGAACUUUGAAAAGAGAGGUUAAACAGUACGUGAAAUUGUCAAAAGGGAAGCGUUUGACACCAGUGUUGUUUUUCCGAAAAUCAAUUACGAAUGUUUUGUUUUUAAGAAGUUAUGACUUCAUCGGCUUGCUUCUUUCUUUACGAAACUUUCUUAAUGCACUUUUCGGUUAACAAGUCAACAUCAAUUUCUUUUGUUGUAAAAGGGUAAGAGGAAGGUGGCUUACGCUUCGGCGUAAGUGUUUAUAGCCUUUUACCUCUGCAAUCGGAGAGAUUGAGGACAGCAGCGUAGACUCUUCGGGGUUAGAUACACUUGUGCUAAGCUAUAGCCUUGUAUAGACAACUUGUUGACUAUGCUCAGUCAUGUAGCUUACUCGCUUGUGCUAUUUUACCUACGCUUAGGAUGUUGACACACGCGCGUGCUCG